AAUUCCAGAGAACCGCGUGACAUGAAUUGACGUGACGACGGAAAUGGUGGACAAGGUGUAUUUUAGCAAUAAAAAACCCCACCAUAUUUUGUUUAUGAUUAUAGGUCUAAAGUAUAUUCGUACGUAUCAACAAAACUACUAAGAUGAAGCAACAGAACAUGACCCAUGCGGCAAGUCGUGAAAAGUGUACUGAAGUUUUGUUAGAACAUUUGCUGAAUAGUGUGAUAAUCCUAGUAAAAGAAGACAGACAGACAACUCUCUGCAAGAUGAUAAGUAACUUUUGAUACAUCAAAGAAUUAAUAAUACUAAUCUAUUUUUGGUAGAUGCAGCAACACAGUUGCAAGACAGGAUAGUACUGCUGCAGAGGAAGACAAGGAAAAGAAACCUAUUAUAAAUAAUUUUGUCUAAUAUAGGCAAUUUAAUUUAGUUAAUUUAAUUUGUCAUGCUUAAUACAAUACAGAAGUUUUGCUAACAUCUUGCUGAAUAUUGUGAUGCUGUAAUCCUGGUGAAAGCAGUUGUAUUAUUUGUUGCAGCAUCAAGACAAUUGCUUAUUUCUGAAAAAACUGAGUAUAUUGUACAGAAGAUAUAAACUGGCUAAUUACAAUCAGACAAGAGAACCAGAAAACUACUAUGAUUACUAGCAGAGCAUUUUAACUUUCUAUAUAAUGAAUUGUUGUUGCCUAAUAAUUUACAUUAUGUGUUUUUGGCUAUAAGAUAAUAAAAAAUAUAAGUAGUGUGUUGACUUUUCUUUGCUGUUUGAAAACUGGUGGAUGCAGGCAAGUUGUUGCAGCAUCAAGACAAUAGCUUCAUUCUGAAAAAUUGAUUAUAUUGUACAGAAGUAAUAAGAGAACCAGAAAACUACUAUAACUUGCAUUUUAACUUUCCAUAUAAUGAAUUCUUGAUGCCUAAUAAUUUUAAUUAUGCGAUUUUGGUUAUGAAGAAAAUUUAAAAAAAUCAAGUGUUUUGAUGUUUCUUUGCUGUUCAAGUUUGAAGAC
Anneissia japonica is the source of this 995-nucleotide long non-coding RNA. RefSeq lists it as uncharacterized. NCBI's taxonomy places the organism in Eukaryota, Metazoa, Echinodermata, Crinoidea, Comatulida, Comatulidae. The transcript has 4 exons. The record is from RefSeq and is a predicted model, not a curated record.